GAAAAAAUGUUGAAGGUUCUAAGUACAUGCUACUCUACUUAUAAGAGAGGGAUUUCCGUUGGCUGAGAGGAAUCCCACUUGAAAGAGUCAUGGAAAGCUAAACUGGAGUAUGGUUAAUACCCAUCGGUUUCAAACCGUUACCAUGAUUAAGUGAUGAACAAUUGAUUGUUGUUGUUCAUAAUUAGGGUGGUACCGCGAUAAAAUCUCGUCCCUGCA
This 216-nucleotide non-coding RNA is filed under the name Virgibacillus necropolis. RNAcentral describes it as "T-box sequence". It matches the Rfam family "T-box leader". Rfam says of the family: Uncharged tRNA acts as the effector for transcription antitermination of genes in the T-box leader family. T-boxes are found upstream of many aminoacyl-tRNA synthetase genes and some amino acid biosynthetic genes usually in Gram-positive bacteria. The anticodon of a specific tRNA base pairs to a specifier sequence within the T-box motif, and the NCCA acceptor tail of the tRNA base pairs to a conserved bulge in the T-box antiterminator hairpin. Lineage: Bacteria; Bacillati; Bacillota; Bacilli; Caryophanales; Bacillaceae. The record is from RNAcentral.